This 275-nucleotide long non-coding RNA is filed under the name Carica papaya (papaya). Its description in RNAcentral is "long non-coding RNA (CPAP_LNC004046)". The record is from RNAcentral. Lineage: Eukaryota; Viridiplantae; Streptophyta; Magnoliopsida; Brassicales; Caricaceae.
GGCUUAUCUGGGAGUGAUUGUGUGGGUGGGUGGCGGAACCAGGGUCGUGUGGACAGGUACGUGGGAAAUGUUGAGAUGGUUUAACAUGGUGACCUUACAUGGUAAGAAGUGGGAGAGUUGAUGAUUCUCUUUGAGGAGAUGAUGUAGGUACAGUAAGGGUAGGAGAACAAGGGGAUAAGAGUGUGGGUAGGAAAUAUGGUGUGGCCAAUGGAAGUGGAGAUCUUAAGGGAUAGGCAUUUAACUGGUUUGUCGUACCUUGUCUAUAAUUUGAGUUU